Lolium perenne is the source of this 1269-nucleotide long non-coding RNA. RefSeq lists it as uncharacterized. Lineage: Eukaryota; Viridiplantae; Streptophyta; Magnoliopsida; Poales; Poaceae. The record is from RefSeq and is a predicted model, not a curated record.
GUAGUAACCUAGAGGACACAAAUGCUAAAAUUCAAGAAAGCUAUGGGUCAGUCACAUCAACAUGAUUGCAGUACAAUAUUGUUGGUAUGCAUUAUGCAAACAUGGAUUGAUAUAGAAGAAGCAAGUUUAUCAUACUACAGAUUAUUUUUUAUAAGUGUACAUCAUAACACAAACCUGUCUUUCAAUAGGGUUAGAUACACUUGGAACUUCUGACUGUCUUUUUGAUACUAGCAUAAGCAUUUAGGACUGAUAGCUAUAUUGAGGGGUUUUUAUUGUUGGAUUGUUAUUUUCUGUUCUCUUAGUUAAAUAUAUUUGGAAAAGGUAUAAGAAAUUUAUGCAUUGAUACUACAUGAGCAUGACCAAUACUCCAAUAUAUGCCUGUAUAGAUGGAACAGGUAAGGAGUAUUUGUACCAUUUAGACAGGAUUAUUUUUGGUCUUGCUUACCUGCAAUAAGCUCGGUUGAGUAAUCUUGAUUUUUUUCAGUCGAAUUUGAAUGAUGGAAGAGUUAUCAAUUUACCAGCCUGGCCAAGCGAAUGAAAAUGCUGCAAUACUUGGGUUAUUGGUUUCACGGAAAUAGUUGAUUGGCAAUACACAAAGCACAAGUAUCACGUUGGCUGCAUCUUAGAGAGGGUAGCUGGAGAUAUUUUCAACUUGGUAGCAACAGCCUGCAUAAGCAAUCAGCCUUGAUGUAAUAGAUGGGGAUGGUUGCACCGACCUGAAGACAGGAAAAGUUAUAUAUCAAGAAGUACUAGACUGCCUGCACCCUGCACAUACAUGUCCUUUACUUGACUUACUGCACCGUGCACAUACAUGUAUGUUCAUUUGAGUUAUGCUUUCUAAUAUAUGUAUGCUAUGUAGUCAAACAAUUAGUUUGCUGCUCCUUUGUUUUCAUGAUGCAUUUGUGCGUGCUGAUGCAGUCUUAAAGGGAAUGCAUAGACCAAAGACUGAUAAUUUGGAAUCCAUUGCAGGAGCGGGGGUCAUGCUCAGGAAACCAGUUGCAGAUUGCUGCAAAUGACAGUUGCAAACCGUUUGGUACUUAAGCUACCUACGGCAGGUGUAUUUCCAGACAAGAUCUAUUCAGCUUAGAUCAGACAACUGCUACAUUAUGUGUUUCUUACCAACAAUUGAUUCCAUGUUAUGGCAUCGGUCAAUAGUUUUGUAUUUGUACAUCGUGUUGCCCUGUGGCUGUAACCAAUGUAGUGAAGACUAUCCUUUGUCUCAUCUAUCGUUAAAUUAUUUCUUAUCGUUUUAACCAGUUCACUUAGUAA